RNAcentral lists this unclassified non-coding RNA (240 nucleotides) under soil metagenome. RNAcentral describes it as "partial contains 5.8S ribosomal RNA, internal transcribed spacer 2, and large subunit ribosomal RNA". The record is from RNAcentral.
AACCUUAUGGACCUGCGGGCGUAUACCUGCGGAAGGAUCAUUAAAGUAUAAUUUGAUUUUGAAUGUUCUUCGGAGGGUUCAAUCAAUCAAUCUAUCUGACUUUUGUGGUAUUAUUGAAAAACUGUAUUGGAUUUAAAGAUGGUAUCACGUGAGUGAUAUCGAUCCAAGCUUUUUUUAUCAACUCUCUCUUUUUAUUGGACUGAAUUUUAUCAAGUUAAACCUUAUUGGUUUAAAUAAAGU